GUAACGCGUGGGUAACCUGCCUCAUACAGGGGGAGUAACAGUUAGAAAUGACUGCUAAUACCGCAUAAGCGCACAGUGCUGCAUGGCACAGUGUGAAAAACUCCGGUGGUAUGAGAUGGACCCGCGUCUGAUUAGCUAGUUGGUGGGGUAACGGCCUACCAAGGCGACGAUCAGUAGCCGGCCUGAGAGGGUGAACGGCCACAUUGGGACUGAGACACGGCCCAAACUCCUACGGGAGGCAGCAUG
Molecule: ribosomal RNA, 246 nt
Filed under: uncultured bacterium
Lineage: Bacteria
Description: partial 16S ribosomal RNA
Rfam family: Bacterial small subunit ribosomal RNA
Source: RNAcentral